UACGUAGGAGGCAAGCGUUGUCCGGAAUUACUGGGUGUAAAGCGCGUGUAGGCGGCAGGCCAAGUCUGUGGUGAAAUCGCUCGGCUCAACUGGGCGGGGUCAGCGGAUACGGCGCGACUGGAGCAAGCUAGGGGGCAAUGGAAUUCCCGGUGUAGUGGUGGAAUGCGUAGAUAUCGGGAGGAACACCAGUGGCGAAGGCGGUUGCCUGGAGCUUUGCUGACGCUGAGGCGCGAAAGCGUGGGGAGCGAUCCGG
RNAcentral lists this ribosomal RNA (253 nucleotides) under uncultured bacterium. RNAcentral describes it as "partial 16S ribosomal RNA". It matches the Rfam family "Bacterial small subunit ribosomal RNA", at positions 524 to 776 of the family's 1533-position model. The record is from RNAcentral.